UCCGGUUCCGCCGCAUGGGGGUGAUAGGCGGAAAGCGUGCGCGCCUAUUCUGCCACGGCUGCUACCUUCACCACAUCGCUCAUGUUCUGCUAGCCUCGCUCUAUGUACCCCCGGGAGAUGGAGACCAUACGCCGGUUCCUCGACGAGCACCCCGAGGUCCUGUACGGGGGCGUCGGGGCCGCAGCGCUCGUCUCCGGCGGAGCGCUCAUCUAUAAAGUCGCCACAAGAAAGAAGCCCACCCAUGCCAACGUCAACUGCUGGUUCUGCAGCCAGAGCACCGUGGUGCCCUAUGGAAACCGCAAUUGCUGGGACUGUCCCACCUGUGAGCAGUACAAUGGCUUUCAAGAGAACGGGGACUACAACAAGCCCAUCCCGGCCCAGUACCUGGAGAACCUGAACCACGGGGUGUCGGCCAGCCUGCCCCCGUCCGACCCCCCCCGGACCCUGCAGUGGGUCAACACGCAGAUGCUGCUCUGCCGGAAGUGCAACAACAACCAGUCGUCCAAGAUCAAGCAGCUGGCGUCCUUCACCCCCCGGGACGACGAGAACUACGACGAGGAGGUCGAGGCCUACAAGCACCACCUGGAGCAGACCUACAGGCUGUGCCGGCCGUGCCAGGCGGCGGUGGAGUACUACAUCAAGUACCAGAACCGGCAGCUCCGCACGGGGCUGCUGACCCACCAGCUCCGCCGCGGCAGGGACGCAGACAACGGCUUCGUCAAGAGCCCCGCCUCCGUGGCCACGCCCGCCGGCGUCAUCCUGCUGCGCGUCCUGGCCUUCCUCACCGCCGCCUUCCUGCUGGCCGUGCUGUUCUCCUGCUGGUCCAGCGCCCCCCCCGGUGACCCCGCCCCCCCCAGCCUGCCCGGAGCGGGGCAGAAGAACCAGAGCGGCGCCGGGGGGGGGCCCGCGUGGCGCCGCCUGCUGGAGCGGCUCCCGGCCGUCGCCAUGGAGACGGCCCGGCAGGGGUGGCGCUACGGCCGGGACAACCAGAUGGCGGUGGUCUCCGGGGGGCUGCUGGGCUGUGUGACCGCCAUCCUCCUCGCCGGACCCCUCAGGUUGAGGAGGAUCGACGCCGUGGCGGCCGUGCUGUGGCUGCUGCUCCUGGUGCUCUACCUGGGCGAGGGGUACCUGGGCGAGGGGUACCUGGCCGGCGCCCCCGGCUGGCUGGACGCCGCCAAGCGGGGGACCGCCGCCCUCUGCUGCCUGGUCUGCUUCGGAGCCGCCUUGGCAACGCGCAAGUCGGUCGGUCCCAGAAGAGCCCGGGGUCGAAGGUCAGAACCCCAACAGUAAACACCUGUAGACUAGACACCCACUCGCUACGACUUGGGGCCUGCAGCAGGCAGCCUGCUCUAUAAGAGUUCUCCUGGUUCUGCAGCCUGUUCUAUAAGAGUUCUCCUGGUUCUGCAGCCUGGUCUAUAAGAGUUCUCCUGGUUCUGCAGCCUGGUCUAUACUAGGCCUCCGGGUCUUCAAAGACAAAAGCUGAACAUUUCUGUGUUUAGUUUUUUGGGACUGCUCCAGUAAUGCACCAUUAACUAACCAAAACAGCCCCUCCUACUAAGGAGGCUUUGUGAUGACACCUUCUUUCUGUCUUUUAGAUCAACAUGGCGACUGGGCAUUCAUGCAGGGGCGGUUUUAAAUAUUUAAAUCGACUUUUAAAGGAGUUAAAAAAACAUGUUUCAAUAACGCGUUUGGUACAUAGAGGAUUUCACGCUCUCCUGUAGCGUGUGUGUGUGUGUGUGUGUGUGUGUGUGUGUGUGUGUGUGUGUGUGUGUGUGUGUGUGUGUGUGUGUGUGUGUGUGUGUGUGUGUGUGUGUGUGUGUGUGUGUGUGUGUGUGUGUGUGUGUGUGUGUGUGUGUUGUCAUUUGUAUACUAAUAUACUUUUAAUACUAACACCUUUUUUAAGUUUGGCCACAGCUGUUCCAAUGGGAAGGUACCGUUUUUGUAUUGUUAUACUAUCUCUUGUUUCUGCUGGUAACUUUCUGCCUGUAGUUGAAUACCAAGCAUUUCACUGUACUUUACUUUAAAUACCCAAGAUGGUUUCCAGAAUUAUGGAGUGAAAAAGUACAAAAUGCAAUUUCGGAACAGAAAUUCAAGAAAUUAUGAAAAAUACGUCACUAUGAUUUACUUAACCAAAUUGUAUGCAAUUCACUUCACGUUUCUAAAACAAACCACAUUGAUCCGUUUCUAAGAAUUGAUGGCUCGUCAAUAAUUUGAAUAACCCUUUUGUAGAAAAAAGGCUGUGGGGAAUACUGUGUAGUAAUACUUUUAAUUUCUUUUUGAGUUUUCGUUAAUUUCGAUUUUGUAUGGGAAAUAUUUGUUUCUCGUGUUCUGUGUGAGGUGGAUUUUUUUCGGGGGGGGUGGGGGGUAUCAAUUCUUAAGGAAAUAGACCAUGACUUGGGGGGGGUAGCCAUUCAUUUCCCUGUGAUUUUAUUUAUUUAGGUCUAUAUAAAUGUUGCAAUGCACAUUGCACACCUAUGAAAUCCUAAUCUGGGUAGUCCAGGGAUGUUCCUGACCCCGGUACAAAUAGAAGACACUUCUACUAACUUACUAAGGUGUGGGAGGUUUGGAAAUAACAGAGCAAUGUGUCGCUUAUUGUAAAUGAGUUGUGCAACAUUUCAUCUCCAUAUAUGUAUAUUGUACACAGUCUCGUACGACCAGUCAUUUGAGAACGAAUUGCCAACACAUGGCACCGACAACUGCUCCUACUGGUCUGAAACCUUCUCCGUCUAACUAUCACUACAUUCACUACACUUUACUACCUAACACUGGUGCAUGAAUAUGUCUCACUUACUGACAAAAACCUCAAUAAUCGACCUAGUUUUUUAAUCCUGGCUGUUGAACUUCAUGUUCAACAAUGUGAAUCGACCUUAUUGUAUUGAUUCCUGUACGCCAAAUCCUUUUUUAGAUUGUAAUUGUAUAAUCUAUGCCAUUUAUUAUUUCUGUAUCAUUCAAAUAAUCAUAUUUUUUACUGCCACACCAAAUCAUGGAAGUUAUGCAUACUUUCAAUUUGCCAGCAGAUAAUGCAGAGUUGAACCGGCCUUACGGCUGAUUGUGAAAGGCUAAGACCUGCAGAAUGCUUUCUCUCAUCCUGUAAAACCUGCUUCUGACUUGCAAGUCAGAGAUGGGUCAUUGUCUGUUCCGUCCGUCAUAGCAAAGGAGUGAUCGCUAUAUUGAAAGGUUCAUACCAUGAAUAUUUUCCAAUGACACCUUUUUAGCCUGGGAUACAGAAUGUACUUUUAUUUUUAUUUUUUAACGUUUUUUAAAGCCAUGUUUUUCUUCGCCGAUGACAGUAUUAUUUAUUCUGGGGGGAGUCUCUGUAUUGCUUUGCCAAACCCCAAACCCAGAGUUAUGAUCAGCUAUCUUUCUAUCUAGGCCCUGUGUCCUGUGCCCAGAUUAUUGGUCCAGGAGCUUCCUGAUGUCCUCAGGAGGAGUUACUUUAGAAGUCUAGUCUAGCUGUAGAGGCCAAUAUGAAGGUAUGAGGCGGUUAUGUAAUAUGAUGGGAGAAAAGUGAGUCACUACAGAUUAAUUUCUACAGCGAUUAAAGGAUUUAUUAUGAAGGACUACCUAAAUUAAUUAGGUCUAUGGAGUUUUGAUUUUUCUUUUUGUGUGGGUCUUUGAUUUGAUUUCAUUAUUGUGACAAAUGUGAUUGUGCAUGUAUCUACAUUUGUAAACAGUCGGAAGCAUAUUAUGAAAGAUUUCAUUUCAAGUGUGUGUGUGUUGCAGGAACUCUUACUUCAUUCAUAUUGUACGAUACAGAACCAAACGUAAUGUUAGCUUUUAUAAGGUCAAUUCCUGCCAACUGUAUUUAUUUAGUGUUGGUCCAACUAUCCUGUAAAUGUAGAAAGCCUGCCAUUUUUUUUUUAUACUGCCCUUAUUUAUGUAUGUAUGAUUUAGGAUGUGAAUGACCCAAUAACUUACUUAACUUGCAAAAACAAAAUAACGUGUAGACCAGUGUUUAAUUUUUGGAAAGGAGCAUUAAUUGAAGUACAUUAUACAGAACGUAUAUUUAAAACACAACACGUUUGUCGUUUCUUUUAACAAACUCAAAGAACAUGUGUGUGAAUGCAUGUCUUGGCAGUCUCUUUCUGAAACACACGUUACGCCAUCUAUCAACGUCAACGACAUCAGCGGUGACAUACUGCUUAUUCAUAUCCAGUCCGACCUGUCAACCACAUGCUGAAUUAUUCAAACCCUUCCCGAAAGGCUGUGAUGUGUUAACAGAAUAAUUAUUAUCAAAAUAGAUCCUGCCAUUGUAAAUUGUUAUGAAGCCCGAUGUUGAACAUGUGAGUUUAUGGGAAUGGCUUUUUAUUCUCAGCAGCCAGACCAGACAUAAGCUCAUCUCCGGUGUAGGAUUUCCUUAAUCUGUUACUUGCCUUUAGAAUUUGGACCGAUGUUAUUAUCAACUUAUUGUAGUUCUGUGUCCAUAGUCUACUCUAGACGAUGCCUGGAGAAGAUUAGUUACGGAACAGUCUCAAUCGAUUUUUGAUCGUUGGGAAACUGCUUUGAGGGUUAUUUGGUUGUGAAUUUUGAGAGGCUGUGAAAAUGCUGAGUUCACGUUCAUGUACUCGCUGAAACAACUCCUGCCACAUUGCUGUGUUUUGAACUGUAAUAAAGUAACGUGUAAAAUGA
This is an RNA transcript of Gadus macrocephalus (Pacific cod), 4629 nucleotides long. It is a transcript of the gene named transmembrane protein 201, with no coding region annotated. The record is from RefSeq and is a predicted model, not a curated record. The transcript is spliced from 7 exons. NCBI's taxonomy places the organism in Eukaryota, Metazoa, Chordata, Actinopteri, Gadiformes, Gadidae.